RNAcentral lists this ribosomal RNA (430 nucleotides) under Pseudomonadota bacterium. RNAcentral's name for it is "Proteobacteria bacterium partial 16S ribosomal RNA". It matches the Rfam family "Bacterial small subunit ribosomal RNA", at positions 355 to 776 of the family's 1533-position model. Lineage: Bacteria; Pseudomonadati; Pseudomonadota. The record is from RNAcentral.
UGGGGAAUAUUGGACAAUGGGCGCAAGCCUGAUCCAGCCAUGCCGCGUGUGUGAAGAAGGCCUUAUGGUUGUAAAGCACUUUAAGCGAGGAGGAGGCUACUUUAGUUAAUACCUAGAGAUAGUGGACGUUACUCGCAGAAUAAGCACCGGCUAACUCUGUGCCAGCAGCCGCGGUAAUACAGAGGGUGCAAGCGUUAAUCGGAUUUACUGGGCGUAAAGCGCGCGUAGGCGGCUAAUUAAGUCAAAUGUGAAAUCCCCGGGCUUAACUUGGGAAUUGCAUUCGAUACUGGUUAGCUAGAGUGUGGGAGAGGAUGGUAGAAUGCCAGGUGUAGCGGUGAAAUGCGUGGAGAUCUGGAGGAAGACCGAUGGCGAAGGCAGCCAUCUGGCCUAACACUGACGCUGAGGUACGAAAGCAUGGGGAGCAAACAGG